Non-coding RNA from Pocillopora verrucosa, 505 nucleotides. NCBI's taxonomy places the organism in Eukaryota, Metazoa, Cnidaria, Anthozoa, Scleractinia, Pocilloporidae. The record is from RefSeq and is a predicted model, not a curated record.
UGUAAGAAUGGCGGAUAAAGCAAGACGAAAGUGCAUCUGAAAUAAUGAGCUCAAACGGAAAUGAUUAAUGAAGAAUCUCGGGCUUGACGAAGCCUCUUGUGGAAUGUAAAACAGAGGCCCUUCUUUAUGGAAGCUGUGUGUCCCAGAAAGACAACAUUACCAAGCAUGCCUGUGAUAAGGAGUUUCAAGCACUUAAAGACUGUAUAAGACAAGCAGCAAAGAAAAUUAAAGUGUAGAGACUUGAAAAGAGAGAACAACUGCACCUGUUGCUGCAAAGUUUAGGAACAGAAGAUGUCACAGGGAACCCACUCACUUUUUGUCUGGGAUAAAAAAUGUUGUACUUGGAAAAGCUAACAUCACUGUAGAAUGGAUGAAUUAAAAGCAAAUUAUGGCUAAUGUGAACUGUGUUAGACUUACUCAUACUGAGUAUAAAGCUUAUUCUAAAAUGGUGACCAUUCUAUGAUUCCAUUUUUAGUCACCCCACAUAUGUUAAUGUCAUUUCCUG